GAGUGGCGAACGGGUGAGUAAUGCAUCGGAACGUAUCCAUUUGUGGGGGAUAGCCCGGCGAAAGCCGGAUUAAUACCGCAUAAUCUCUGAGGAGGAAAGUGGGGGACCUUCGGGCCUUACGCUGAUGGAGCGGCUGAUGUCGGAUUAGCUAGUUGGUAGGGUAAAGGCCUACCAAGGCGACGAUCCGUAGCUGGUCUGAGAGGACGACCAGCCACACUGGAACUGAGACACGGUCCAGACUCC
Molecule: ribosomal RNA, 243 nt
Filed under: uncultured bacterium
Lineage: Bacteria
Description: partial 16S ribosomal RNA
Rfam family: Bacterial small subunit ribosomal RNA
Source: RNAcentral